This 492-nucleotide ribosomal RNA is filed under the name uncultured bacterium. RNAcentral's name for it is "partial 16S ribosomal RNA". It matches the Rfam family "Bacterial small subunit ribosomal RNA", at positions 29 to 507 of the family's 1533-position model. The record is from RNAcentral.
AGUGAACGCUGGCGGUAGGCCUAACACAUGCCAGUCGAACGGCCGCACAGUAAGCUCUUGCUCUUACGGUUGGCGAGUGGCGGACGGGUGAGGCAUACAUCGGAAUCUACUUUUUCUUGGGGGAUUACGGAGGGAAACUUAUGCUAAUAGCGCAUACGACCUACGGGUGAAAGCAGGGGAUAUUCGGACCUUGCGCGAUUGAAUGAGCCGAUGUCGGAUUAGCUAGUUGGCGUGGUAAAGGCCCACCAAGGCGAGGAUCCGUAGCUGGUCUGAGAGGAUGAUCGGCCACACUGGAACUGAGACACGGUCCAGACUCCUACGGGAGGCAGCAGUGGGGAAUAUUGGACAAUGGGCGCAAGCCUGAUCCAGCCAUACCGCGUGGGUGAAGAAGGCCUUCGGGUUGUAAAGCCCUUUUGUUGGGAAAGAAAAGCAGCAGGUUAAUACCCCGCUGUUCUGACGGUACCCAAAGAAUAAGCACCGGCUAACUUCGUG